Long non-coding RNA from Drosophila miranda, 1900 nucleotides. RefSeq lists it as uncharacterized. The record is from RefSeq and is a predicted model, not a curated record. NCBI's taxonomy places the organism in Eukaryota, Metazoa, Arthropoda, Insecta, Diptera, Drosophilidae. The transcript is spliced from 2 exons.
GCGAAUAGCAGCUUUGACUUCGGUACUUCGCAGGCGGUUUCGCUGCCAGUAUCCUAAAAACAUAGCACAAGCAAUAGUUCAUAAUAAUUUGUGAAAACGAUGGCAACGUUAUGAGCCGCGGCAAAGCACGCUGCUCUACCAGGCUCAAAAUUGAUUGAUGUUGGCGAUCAAGGGCAGCUCGAUGUUGGCCAUGAUCAGCUGCUCCGUGGAGUUGUAUUUGGUGUUAAACUCUGGCAACGUCUUGUCUGCCAGAGCACAUUUUGUGAUGUGUUCGACUGUUCGAACAAAACUGAGAAAGUUGCUUUUUUUGUGUUUGUACUUUUAAAUAGUACAUUAUACAAAAAUUGUGGCGCCUACUGCUUAACUACAUAUGUGUAGUGGCAGACAUGGCUAUUAAAUGGCAGGGUAACAUUGGUUACAAUAAUGGCUAUUUGGUAAUUUAACAGUGUUGGAUAUAGCUAAGGUAAUACUAAUCUUAGUAUUAAUUUGUGUUUUGUGUAGAUUGCUUACAAUGUUUUAAUUUACAUGUGGAUUUGGUGCGUUGGUGUUAUUGCGACUGAUCUCCAUAUUAUGAGUUGAGAAGGGAUUUCUUCGCCAGUUUUCGCGUCUAGCCUGUGAUUGUUCUGAGUGCUUUGUUUUGUAAUUUUUACAGUUUGUCCAUUUGCGUGCUAGAUGUUAGGGGUCCCCAGACUGGCAUGGCGUACUGCCAUAUUGGGGCAACCAGUUGCUUGAAGAGAAGGACUUUCAGGUGCAGGGUAAGAUUGCUUCUUCUGACUACAGCAGCUACAUGUUUGUUGAAGUUGAGCUUCUCAUCCAUCUGCACGCCAAGGUAUGGUAGGACCGUUUUUUUGGGUAAGUGUUGCCCAGCUACCGUAGGUGCUGGAGUCUGUUGUUGCGCAGGUGAGAGUGAAUGCAAGACAUGUGCAGUUUUUGUGAGACUAACGGUAAUUCCCCAUUUUUUGACCAGGAGUGAGCGUCAGCUAGAAGCCUCUCCAUGGAUUCGUUGCCAUGUCGUGGGUUAAAAGCAGACACCAGGUAGACCGCGUCGUCUGCAUAAGUUGCUAGGAGUUGCGUUUGAGUAUUGCUUAUUUGUGGCUGUGGCAUGUCGGCAGUGUAUACGUUGUAUUGCACUGGGCCAAGGACGCUGCCUUGCGGGACUCCUGCAGCUACAUGCUUUUGGCUUGAGAUGGUAUUCCCACAACAGACGAUUUUGAAGGUUCUGUCCAUAAGAUAGCUGGUGAGUGGGAUGAAUAAUUUGUCCGGUAUUAUGGUUUUGGUUUUGCAGAGAAGACCCUGAUGCCAGACUCUAUCGAAAGCUUCCUGAAUGUCCAUGUAGACAGCACAGCAAGGUCGCUGCUGUCCAUAAGACCUGAGGAUAAAUUGUGUGGCUCGUCCGACUUGCUUCUCUGCGGAGUGCUGACUUCUAAAGCCAAAUUGAUGAUUUGGUAUGGCCAUGGCAAAAUGUUCUUCAAAGAGACGUGUUUGAAUAAGGCGCUCGAAUAUUUUUGAGAAUUCUGUUAGAAGACUGAUAGGCCUGUAUGAUUGAAGUUUAUCCGGCGGCUUUCCUGGCUUCUGUAUCAUUGUAAUUUUGGCACAUUUCCAAGCUUUUGGGAAAUACCCAAUCUGCAGGGCAGAUUUGAAUAUUAGCAUAAGUUUUUUGAUUUCAGAUUUUAAUUCGUUGAUGGUAAAAGGUCUGAUUUUUUGUUCGUCUGGUGGAUCGCUACUUUGCAGCACUGAUUCAAUUUCCUCCCUGUCUUCUAGAUCUGCCGUGAUUCUGAGAAUGAGAUAAGUAAUGUGUAGAAACCGGCUGGAAAUUUUUUUUUUUUGAUGGCUCGUUUAUUGAAUUUUUUUUGGAAGUGUGUUUGUCGUGUGAACAAUAUUGGAAGACUAACUUUAUGAA